AGCAGCCGCGGUAAUUCCAGCUCCAAUAGCGUAUAUUAAAGUUGUUGCAGUUAAAAAGCUCGUAGUUGAAUUUCGGGAUCGACGUGACGGUCGUGCCUUACGGGGCAUGAACUGUCGCAGUUGAUUUCUCACCUUCUGGAGAAGCUCGAUGUCCUUAAUUGGGUGUCUUGCGGAACCAGGACCUUUACCUUGAAAAAAUUAGAGUGUUUAAAGCAGGCAUUUUUGCUCGAAUACAUUAGCAUGGAAUAAUAGAAUAGAACGGCAUGGUUCUAUUUUGUUGGUUUCUAGGAUCACCGUAAUGAUUAAUAGGGAUAGUUGGGGGCAUUAGUAUUCAAUUGUCAGAGGUGAAAUUCUUGGAUUUAUUGAAGACUAACUACUGCGAAAGCAUUUGCCAAGGAUGUUUUCAUUAAUCAAGAACGAAAGUUAGGGGAUCGAAGACGAUCAGAUACCGUCGUAGUCUUAACCAUAAACUAUGCCGACUAGGAAUCAGA
Molecule: ribosomal RNA, 491 nt
Filed under: uncultured Entrophospora
Lineage: Eukaryota; Fungi; Glomeromycota; Glomeromycetes; Entrophosporales; Entrophosporaceae
Description: SSU rRNA
Rfam family: Eukaryotic small subunit ribosomal RNA
Source: RNAcentral